GGGACAGGGCUGCAGGUCUGGCUCCACUUCCCCACGGAUGGAAGGUCUUCUCUCCACAGGAAUUAGGGUUCUGGGGCAGGGGGGUAAUGGGGUCCAGCCUUCCCACUCCAGGAGGACCAUCUCUGCCUCAGAUAUGGAAACCUUUACUUCAUUUUGCCACUUAAGUUUUGUGACAGAGUUUGAGAUAGAAACUGUGGAGGAAUCUAGGUGAAAAUCGUUGGGUAGCAUUUUGCAAGUGUGGAAGUGACAUCAUUUGCUUUUUCCUUGAAAGUUUCCUGAUCCGGAUAUUGGUUAAAAAAAAAUCAUGGUGGCAUAGACCCUGAUGAGUAUCAUCUUCAGAUGCUGGAAUUAUAUCUUAAACUAACCAAAGGGAUCAUCUACUGAUGACCCAAAUUUCCUUUCAAGAAUUAACAAAUCUCAUUUUUUUUCCCCCUAGGAACUCUACUCAUCUGUAGUUAAUCUAAGAAUUAACAUUUAGCAAAUUACUGCGUCAGUGCCUUAAAUGAGCCCCUCCAUUUACUUCACCUAAGAAGUGGAAAUCAAUAUUUGAAACUUUUCUUGAAGCUUUGUGGGAAUUCCACACAUGGAAGAUUGCCAGGAGCAGAAGCAUGUGACUCGAUGUCUUUUCCUGGAGUGGACACAUCCUGUAACCACCUCCCUAGGACAAGAAAGAGGAUACGGCCAACUUUCCCCGCUGCCCCGUGAAUAACUGCUGUUGAAGGAUCAAUGCUCCAGGUCCCCUCUGCCAGUCGGUGUUUAUCAGAGGACAGUGGAGGAAGAGGGACAAAAGUUCUUGGAUAUAUGUGUUAAUCAAGAAUUGUCAGGACCCUGCCUCUAAAAGGAAGUGUUAAAAUAAUGUUUUUGACAUCAAGACUUUUCUCAAAGUUCAUGUAAUCCAAGGGUUUGGCAAACAAAGGACCACAGGCUAAAUCUGAUUUGUUGCCUGUUUUUGUAAAUAAAGAUUUAUUGGAACACGGCCACACUCACUCGUUUAUGCAUUGUCUGCCACUGCUUUUGCACUACAACGUGGAGCAGUAGUGGCAGAGACCACGUGGCCUGCAAAGAUUUGCCUUCUGGCUCUUUACAGAAAAAGUUUGCUGACUUCUGAAAUAGUCUAUCCAAUUCACUGAGUAUCUACUCAAUAACUCCUCCACGCGGAGAAAUACACUUACAGGAAUUUUUAGAGUGGUCCUUGUUUGAUGAAAGGCUGAGGGCCUUCGGUAACAUGCUUAUGUUAUGGGUGUUCAGUACGGGUGUAUAGACAGCAGGAAGCAAGAAGGUUUUGGCAAGAAGUCAUGGUUUGAGAAAGGUUCUGCCGUUAUUGUCUCAGUGGCAAGUCACCAAUCAUGAUUGGGCUCUUCCUUGUCUGCUACCUGGAGGAGAAGGUGUUGACGUGGUUGGAGCUUCUGGCUUGGAGUGCACCUUUAUUAACUACUUCAAGACCUUACGGUCAACAUGGUGGACUUUUGCUUCCAGACCAAAAGAUGGGAGCCCUUUGCCACCAGUUGGUGGUUGGGAGGGUACAUAAAGUCCUAGGGAAUCCAUAUCAGAGAAAUUUUCAAGUAUGAAUUGUCCAAUUAAAUGACAUAUAGUAAACAUGCCCGAUGUGCACUUAUUUUGCCAUACUGUUAAACACAGUCUUCAUUCAGAUUGUACUCAUUCAAUGACGUGUCUUGUAAUUUUUGAGAUGAUCAUUAUCGAAUAUCCCUACAGGAAGCAGCUUCCACCAAAAUAUUGAAUUUGCCUUGUCAUGGGAGGAGAAGUGAAGUUCUUCAAAGUUUCCGUUUUUGAUAUUGCCCUUUUAACAGAGAAGUUUGCCAACAUUUUCCUCAUCUUCAAUAUUGUUAGUUAUUUGUUCUCUUCAGGUUUAUCUGUGAACCUAAAAGUCAUAGAAAUCGCUGAAACAAAGAUGCCAAUGAAGUUGCCUCCCCCCCACACGCAAAAACUUUCCGGAAUCUUCCAUCGUACAGUUGUCACCUGCAAAGAAUUUUGAGAGGUACAGUGGAAAAUAUUGCCUUAUUCUCCUCUUUCCCCCCAAAUAAGUCAGUCGCAGACCUGUUGGCUGAAUUUUGGUGGUGUUAUCUGAUUCUGCAAUUCUUCCAUGAAGCUGUGUUACUUCUCAGAUAUUCACAGGACCCAGGAUGCUGCUGUUUUGAGAAAUUUAAUUUGUUCAGCACACAAAAAGCAUAUCCAUAGCAGGGCUUAACACUGAUACAGAUAACUCUUUCCAUCUGUAAGAAGUUUGUAAGUAUUAACUAAUUUAUUUAACUUUCCUGUAAUGGAGUGAAUUUCCUUCCAUUUGCUAUGGGAAACCCUUCUUUUUCUAAUUCUAAUCUUUUAGCAGGUAUUCUACUGAAAAUUGUCACCAUGCUGGAAAUAUUUUGUAGAGAGAAAAUACAUAUUUCAACACAGUGUGAAAUUCCACCGAAAUAGAUGACCUC
Long non-coding RNA from Equus quagga, 2441 nucleotides. RefSeq lists it as uncharacterized. NCBI's taxonomy places the organism in Eukaryota, Metazoa, Chordata, Mammalia, Perissodactyla, Equidae. The record is from RefSeq and is a predicted model, not a curated record. The transcript is spliced from 3 exons.